GUGCCAGCAGCCGCGGUAAUACAGAGGGUGCAAGCGUUAAUCGGAAUUACUGGGCGUAAAGCGCACGUAGGCGGUUUUUUAAGUCAGAUGUGAAAGCCCCGGGCUCAACCUGGGAAUUGCAUUUGAAACUGGGGAACUAGAGUGUGUGAGAGGGGGGUAGAAUUCCAAGUGUAGCGGUGAAAUGCGUAGAGAUUUGGAGGAAUACCAGUGGCGAAGGCGGCCCCCUGGCACAACACUGACGCUCAGGUGCGAAAGCGUGGGGAGCAAACAGGAUUAGAUACCCUGGUAGUCC
Molecule: ribosomal RNA, 292 nt
Filed under: uncultured microorganism
Description: partial 16S ribosomal RNA
Rfam family: Bacterial small subunit ribosomal RNA
Source: RNAcentral